This 497-nucleotide ribosomal RNA is filed under the name uncultured bacterium. RNAcentral describes it as "partial 16S ribosomal RNA". It matches the Rfam family "Bacterial small subunit ribosomal RNA", at positions 28 to 507 of the family's 1533-position model. The record is from RNAcentral.
GACGAACGCUGGCGGCGUGCCUAAUACAUGCAAGUUGAGCGCUGAAGGUUGGUACUUGUACCAACUGGAUGAGCAGCGAACGGGUGAGUAACGCGUGGGGAAUCUGCCUUUGAGCGGGGGACAACAUUUGGAAACGAAUGCUAAUACCGCAUAAAAACUUUAAACACAAGUUUUAAGUUUGAAAGAUGCAAUUGCAUCACUCAAAGAGGAUCCCGCGUUGUAUUAGCUAGUUGGUGAGGUAAAGGCUCACCAAGGCGAUGAUACAUAGCCGACCUGAGAGGGUGAUCGGCCACAUUGGGACUGAGACACGGCCCAAACUCCUACGGGAGGCAGCAGUAGGGAAUCUUCGGCAAUGGACGAAAGUCUGACCGAGCAACGCCGCGUGAGUGAAGAAGGUUUUCGGAUCGUAAAACUCUGUUGGUAGAGAAGAACGUUGGUGAGAGUGGAAAGCUCAUCAAGUGACGGUAACUACCCAGAAAGGGACGGCUAACUACGUG